This 450-nucleotide ribosomal RNA is filed under the name Blastocystis sp. subtype 2. RNAcentral's name for it is "SSU rRNA". It matches the Rfam family "Eukaryotic small subunit ribosomal RNA", at positions 547 to 1008 of the family's 1831-position model. The record is from RNAcentral. Lineage: Eukaryota; Bigyra; Opalinata; Blastocystidae.
AUUGGAGGGCAAGUCUGGUGCCAGCAGCCGCGGUAAUUCCAGCUCCAAUAGCGUAUAUUAACGUUGUUGCAGUUAAAAAGCUCGUAGUUGAAGUGAGGGAGUGUGUGGGUAUGAGAGCUAGUCUCAAGUGCUCACAACCUCCCCCCUCCAAUCGGUGUAGUGGGGUAUUCAGUUAUUCUACUACUCCUUUGGUCGUUUACUGUGAGAAAAUUAGAGUGUUCAAAGCGGGCGUUUGUUUGAAUAGAUUAGCAUGGAAUAAUGAUUGAAGGCUUUCGUGUUCGAUUUGAUUGGUUUGUUCAUGGAAGCAAGGUUAAAAGGAACAGUUGGGGGUAUUCAUAUUCACUAGUUAGAGGUGAAAUUCUCGGAUUUAUGGAAGAUGAACAGGUGCGAAAGCAUUUACCAAGGAUGUUUUCAUUAAUCAAGAACGAAAGCUAGGGGAUCGAAGAGGAU